GACCCCGUGGUGUAAUGGAAACACAUCAGUCCGGUCUACUGAAGAUUCUGGUUCGCCCCCAGCCGAUGACU
This is a non-coding RNA of Meloidogyne enterolobii, 71 nucleotides long. NCBI's taxonomy places the organism in Eukaryota, Metazoa, Nematoda, Chromadorea, Rhabditida, Meloidogynidae. The record is from the annotation of a GenBank genome assembly.